GUGGGGAAUAUUGGACAAUGGGCGAAAGCCUGAUCCAGCCAUGCCGCGUGUGUGAAGAAGGUCUUCGGAUUGUAAAGCACUUUAAGUUGGGAGGAAGGGUAGUAACCUAAUACGUUGCUACUUUGACGUUACCGACAGAAUAAGCACCGGCUAACUUCGUGCCAGCAGCCGCGGUAAUACGAAGGGUGCAAGCGUUAAUCGGAAUUACUGGGCGUAAAGCGCGCGUAGGUGGUUCAGUAAGUUGGAAGUGAAAUCCCCGGGCUCAACCUGGGAACUGCUUUCAAAACUGCAUGACUAGAGUACGGUAGAGGGUAGUGGAAUUUCCUGUGUAGCGGUGAAAUGCGUAGAUAUAGGAAGGAACACCAGUGGCGAAGGCGACUACCUGGACUGAUACUGACACUGAGGUGCGAAAGCGUGGGGAGCAAACAGGAUUUGAAACCCGAGUAGUCC
RNAcentral lists this ribosomal RNA (450 nucleotides) under uncultured bacterium. RNAcentral's name for it is "partial 16S ribosomal RNA". It matches the Rfam family "Bacterial small subunit ribosomal RNA", at positions 354 to 796 of the family's 1533-position model. The record is from RNAcentral.